Molecule: non-coding RNA, 30 nt
Filed under: Homo sapiens (human)
Lineage: Eukaryota; Metazoa; Chordata; Mammalia; Primates; Hominidae
Source: RNAcentral
UCACCUAAUUGAGCUGAACAUCUUUCCCGG